Molecule: ribosomal RNA, 397 nt
Filed under: uncultured bacterium
Lineage: Bacteria
Description: partial 16S ribosomal RNA
Rfam family: Bacterial small subunit ribosomal RNA
Source: RNAcentral
AUACGUAGGGGGCGAGCGUUGUCCGGAAUGAUUGGGCGUAAAGGGCGCGUAGGCGGCCCGGUAAGUCUGGAGUGAAAGUCCUGUUUUUAAGAUGGAAAUUGCUUUGGAUACUGUCGGGCUUGAGUGCAGGAGAGGUAAGUGGAAUUCCCAGUGUAGCGGUGAAAUGCGUAGAGAUUGGGAGGAACACCAGUGGCGAAGGCGACUUACUGGACUGUAACUGACGCUGAGGCGCGAAAGUGUGGGGAGCAAACAGGAUUAGAUACCCUGGUAGUCCACACUGUAAACGAUGAAUGCUAGGUGUAGGGGGUAUCGACCCCUUCUGUGCCGCAGUCAACACAAUAAGCAUUCCGCCUGGGGAGUACGGCCGCAAGGUUGAAACUCAAAGGAAUUGACGGGG